AAGCGCAUAUUAGAAUUCGGAUCCUAUGGAAUUCGACCGACAGACCAAAGAUUAUUGGAUGAUUUAUAAAGCCUGAAAUAUUAGACAAGAUUAAUGUAUCACCUUUGUACAAAAAAAAAUUACCGGAAUUUAAAAAUAACCUUCACAGUGGAUUGAAAGAAAUGUUUAUAAUCCCUACAUAUUCCAGAAAAGUGGCUUCUAAGCGAGUCCGAAUUACGUUGAUUUCCCAUAGCCUGAGAUAGGAGGAAAAGCAUAGCCACUACUUAAGCUGUUUUCUUUCAGUUUUUAAUUAAUAAUGGCAAGAAUUUUGGAUAUAGUAUCAUAUAAAAUAAAUUACUUUACUUAUACCUGAAAGUAUUCUGACGGAAUUUUUCGUGUUUACUUAUCAUGGAACGUCUCAUGAAUCGAAAAAGUGGCAGAAGCUCCCGCAAUUGAUAUUAGUGCAACGCAUUCUGUGAAGAAAAUAUUAGAGGCCAUUUAAUUGAACUGCUACUUAAUACCAUCCCUCAUUUGUGCAGUGAAUACCAUUUCGGUUCCAGCAGCAAAUUAUAUAUAUAAUAUAUAAAUAUGGGAGAUAUCUGGAUUGGCGGAAAAAAAUGGUACUGAAGUGAUAUCGGUAUUCGUAGAUCAGACAACUUAAGACUAUUAGGGAUGCAAUUUUUCUUGGAUAAAAGUGUGCCGUCACCAUCAGUAAUACGGUUUUCUCGUUUCUAUAUACAAACCAUCAAUACUCACAAAUUUCCUUAAGAUAAUUUGAAGUACCAAAUGUUCAUGAUGUAGACAUGUUUUAACCCAAGUGAUCACGUCACAAGAUACUAUUUGGAGCUUUCAACCUUGCAAUUCAGAGCCUUUUCCAUGGAAUAACGGAAAUCCAAUUUAUGCAAUUGAGUUUGUAAAAUUCCUUUUGGCUUCGCCUAAAUUUAUUGGUUCUAAAAAAAAUAAUGAAUGCAUAAAUGGUGUGCGCAGUGGAAAUGUGAUCAUGUAUGUAGUCAACAUUGCUUAAGGAUAUUAGUAUAUCUUUGAAAUGUUUUAUUCUAUUCUAAGAGCAACAUAAUGAAUAUUUAUAUAAUUUUUUUCGAACUUUGAAAAGCUUGUGCAAAAUAUCUGAUCCAAAACAAGUGUUUGACAAGUCAAUUUCAUCUUAAAAUUGCCUGGAAACUUUUAUUGUUAUACCAACUUUAAAAUGAUGGUCUGUAUUC
This is a long non-coding RNA of Argiope bruennichi, 1199 nucleotides long. RefSeq lists it as uncharacterized. Lineage: Eukaryota; Metazoa; Arthropoda; Arachnida; Araneae; Araneidae. The transcript is spliced from 3 exons. The record is from RefSeq and is a predicted model, not a curated record.